GAUGAACGCUGGCGGCGUGCCUAAUACAUGCAAGUCGAGCGAACAGACGAGGAGCUUGCUCCUCUGACGUUAGCGGCGGACGGGUGAGUAACACGUGGAUAACCUACCUAUAAGACUGGGAUAACUUCGGGAAACCGGAGCUAAUACCGGAUAAUAUAUUGAACCGCAUGGUUCAAUAGUGAAAGACGGUUUUGCUGUCACUUAUAGAUGGAUCCGCGCCGCAGUAGCUAGUUGGUAAGGUAACGGCUUACCAAGGCGACGAUGCGUAGCCGACCUGAGAGGGUGAUCGGCCACACUGGAACUGAGACACGGUCCAGACUCCUACGGGAGGCAGCAGUAGGGAAUCUUCCGCAAGGGGCGAAAGCCUGACGGAGCAACGCCGCGUGAGUGAUGAAGGUCUUCGGAUCGUAAAACUCUGUUAUUAGGGAAGAACAAAUGUGUAAGUAACUAUGCACGUCUUGACGGUACCUAAUCAGAAAGCCACGGCUAACUACG
Molecule: ribosomal RNA, 495 nt
Filed under: uncultured bacterium
Lineage: Bacteria
Description: partial 16S ribosomal RNA
Rfam family: Bacterial small subunit ribosomal RNA
Source: RNAcentral